This 359-nucleotide unclassified non-coding RNA is filed under the name uncultured Mortierella. Its description in RNAcentral is "sequence contains ITS2". The stretch from base 1 to 52 matches the Rfam family "5.8S ribosomal RNA", at positions 103 to 154 of the family's 154-position model. The record is from RNAcentral. Lineage: Eukaryota; Fungi; Mortierellomycota; Mortierellomycetes; Mortierellales; Mortierellaceae.
AACGCAUAUUGCGCUCUCUGGUAUUCCGGAGAGCAUGCUUGUUUGAGUAUCAGUAAACACCCCUCAGAACUUUUUGAUUUUCGAAUCAUUGAGCUCUGGAUUUGAGUGAUCCCAACGUGUUCUUUCGCAGAGCAUGGCGGGCCACUUGAAAUGCAGGUGCAGCUGGACUUUGUUCUGAGCUAAAAGCAUAUUUAUUUAGUCCUGUCAACACUUGUGUUGCGGAUUAUUACUUCUGCUGCAGCUAACAUAAAGGAAGAUUGUUCAAAUGCUGACUGAUGCAGGAAUUUGGCAAAAUAUCGUCUAGGCGAUUUUUUGUUAAACUCGAUCUCAAAUCAAGUAAGACUACCCGCUGAACUUAA